This 5257-nucleotide long non-coding RNA is filed under the name Homo sapiens (human). RNAcentral's name for it is "long non-coding RNA NONHSAT172037.1". The record is from RNAcentral. Lineage: Eukaryota; Metazoa; Chordata; Mammalia; Primates; Hominidae.
UAGGAUUGGUUGCUGGGGAAAGGCAUAGAGUUCUAGGUGCAAUGUUUUAAGGGGAAGACUUACACUAUGAAGCUAGCCCAGAAGAGGGUGACUAGAGUACUGAGGAGUUUCUACCUGGAAGGGCUGUAAGGAAGACAACUGCUAUGUUGUGAGCGGCUCUAUGGAGAGGCCCAUGUGGAGGGAAGUGAGGAAGGCCUCUGGCCAACAGUCCAGGAGGAAGUGAAGCCCUCAGUCCAACAGCCUGUGUGGAACUGAACCCUGCAAACAACUCUGUGUGUGAGCUUGGAAGUGGAUCCAUAUUCAGUCAAACCUUGAGAUGGGACACCAUGCUCUGCUAACACUUGAUUGUGGUCCCAGCUAGGCCACUGCUGAAGUCUUGACUCAGAGAAACGAUGAUAUAGUAAAUGUUUGUUGUUUCAAGUUGGUAAGUUUUGGGAUAAUUUUUUAUAUAGUGAUAAUUUUUUAUAUACUUUAAAAUAACACAUUGCCCUAUCCUUUGGUUACACUUUUCUCUUGGAACUCUGCUUGCCCAUAUAUUACAGAAAUAUUUUUCAGAUCAUGGGCUGAAAGGUGGAUUAUGGAUGCAAUGUUUAAAUUUAGCAAUGUCAUUUAUGACUGUUCAUAUGAGCUUUGCUGCAUAAAAUGUUGAUAUUAAUUUGUUUCCCUUUAAGACAUUCUUAAUGUUUACCUCUCAGUAUUUUCUUUGUAAUCAAUUAAUGUAAGAUGAAUAUAGUUUGUAGGUUUUACCUUUCUUGAUUCGUAUACAAAACACACAACAUCCAACCAUUGUUAUUUAAAGAUUAUCUAGGAGGAGAUGAUGGAAACUCUGUUUUGGGCCACCUUCUUUACACAUUGGGUCUAUUUCCCCUAACUUGAGUAUAUAUUAAACUAGUGGGGGAUUGAGCUACAAAAAUGCUACUUGGUGAGAAUUUUAUUAAUACAAAUACUCAACUCUGAAGUUACGUUUUUGUGGAAAGUUAUCACUUUGGAAUUUGAAUUUUCUUGGAGCUAAGCCACUGGUAGUUGUAAAAGCUACACCUGUAAAUUUGCUCCCUAGAAGAUACUUUCGUUUAGUGACCACUUGUUUCUCUGUGGAUAAAUUCAAUUAUAAAUUACAAUCGAAUUGACGUUUUCAUAGCAUCCUUCACUCUCCAAGUAUCUCAAGUCCUCUGUGAAUUAUAAAGUAAUUACAGUGCUCAAAGGACAGUUUCAUAAUUGUGUCCAUGAGCACAGACUUUCCUCUAUGUUCGAGAAGGGCUCAUUCCCAGCCGGGAACAUUAAGUUGGAUUUUAUUGAGACUGGGGACUGCUAGUCCAGACAGCUGGGUGAUCCCCUGCGCUAUUUUGAAAAGUAUCCUGGGAUCUUUAAUUUCCACCUGGAUGGUCAGGGAGGUGAGAGAACGGCCCUCACUGGGUGUGACCUUGUAUCCCACUUGGGGUCUUGAACCAGGGGACCCCCAACCCCAGAGGUGAGACAUGCAAUAUGGUCAAUUAUACAACCUCUUAAUUAUUUUUUGCUGAAUCUCAAGUGAGUUCUCAUGGCCUGCUCUCUCCCGGGUGGGUUCAGAAGGUGGCCAAGAAGAAAUGUUAGAAAAUUCCCAGAGAGCCAUUUCAUGAGAAUGUUUUCUUUGGUUUAUACCUGAUACUGUUUUGUUUUUGUUGUUGCUUUUUAAUAACUUUUUUUUCUUUUUGUGGGGUCAUUUGCGUAAUACACAGGUGACGAACACUCAAGGUUAUUUGGUCGCAUGCCACCAAAUAACUUUCCUUUGGCACAUCUGCAGUGAAGGAGUCUUUCUGUCUGUCUCCUUUUGUUCCUCAUCAUCUAUUAGCUUGGCACAGCUGACUGAGCUGUUAAAUGAUUACUGCAUAUUUUGUACCUCACCUUGAGAGGCUUUGGUAUAAAAAGGUGCUAAUUAAGCUGAAGCUUCUGGCCCUCUUGCCUAUGUGGGCCCCAGGAAGCGAAGCAAAAAGACUUUAGGGAGCUGGAGCUUGUGUGUGUGUGUGUGUGUGUGUGUGUGUGUGUGUGUGUGUGUGUGUGUGUGUGUGUUUCGUUUUCAGCAUUUUGAGGAAUUGUUACUGGAACUUAUAAAAUAAUUGUUUUAGACCUUAUAAACACAGCAAAUUCUUCAAACUACGUAUGAGGCUGACUCAAAAAGCCACGUAAAGGUAGCUUGGCGAAUCAACUAACUGCUGACCAGUUUGUGGUGAUCGUAAGUCUAUAUAUGCUGGAUUUGGCGAUCGUAAGUCUAUAUAUGCUGGAUUUGAAUAUUUUCUGUAUUUAAAGAAAAAUAAGUACAUUCUAAGAAUAGUUGUCAUCUCCCUCUGUAGACUUGCCCCGUAGAUAUUUGAAAUGGGGAUUAACAUAUUUAAGAGUAGCAGGAAGUGCUAUUUCAUCAGUGUCUAGAAUGGGAGGCGAAUUCAGUCCCUGCCUGGACUUGUUGACUAGCUCGCUGGGUUGUGAAAACCACGGCAUUCUCCUGGGAAUUUGUUCCAGGGCACUGACUGCAUUUCUUCUGAAGCUAAAGCACUUAGCUUUGCUUCCAUGCCUUUUAAUAUAAUUUGUAGGCUUCAGCAGAUUUCUAAAGUACACCACUUGAUAUCUUUCACAGCUCAAGGUAAAUUCUGCAGCACGAACUUAUAGAAUUUUUUUCUUUUACCUGGGGUGAGAACAUACCUUUUCCUAGUGCUAUUUUUUUUUUCUGGGCUACCUUUCAUCUGUUUACAUGAAUUCCACUUCUUCUCGCUGUGUUAAAGAAAUCCCCUAAGCUGUCUACAUAGGUGUGAAACUUUUGGUUGUGAUUUCCUUGAAGUUAGUUGGAACUGGAACAUUUUUUUCUGUGUCCUGAAUGGCUCACACAUUCCCUAACACAGAAUGGAUACUCAGCGAACAGUUGUUGAAUCAGUGAACGGUAAUGGCUCAGUUCUGUCAGACAAUGGAUUGAAUUAUUUUUACACCUUUAAUUCACUCAUGGACUGAAUUAACCUACUCAUGGGCUGUUUGGGGCAUCAAGUGAUAUUUAUACAUUUCUGAAGAAUGUGGAAUCACCAGGGUUAACAGUGUUUGCAGGUGGCGUUCGAUUGCAGGGGCCCAAGGAACCACGGCUGAAUUCCGCAUGGACAUAGGCCAUUUUCCACCAGCAAAGUUAUGAGAACUUUUUUUGUUUUGGUAACUGAUGUGAAAUUUUCAGUUCCGAAUGACAUCCAGAAACUCUCCUUCUGCAGCAGAUGAAUGUUUUGAGGGAAUUUGAGAGGAGGGUUUGUCUUUUAUCUCUCACCUGCACGAGGACACUUGCAGUCUCUUAAGAGAUGUUCUCUUUUUGAAAUGGUGGAAGGACAGAAGCAUCAGCCAGCCCGUUCAUGCUUGGGGACAGAGAGGGAGCUCAGAGCUUAGGGGAGCACAGGUCACUCUAAUGAAUGACAGCUGUAAUAAUAAAGACAUGCCAUCCAUGCUACUUUUUGCAGAAACCAGAAACAUCCUUGUGAAAGUUAAAGGGAAAAGAAAAACGUGUACUUUGAGGGGGGUGUUAACGGGGGACAGGAGGUGGCGACAUAAAAGACUGGUUUAAUGUGUCUCGUUGUAGCCCCUAAGGCUUUACCUGACCCCAUCACUGUCACAACACCUUCUUCGGGACUGACAGUCUUGGUAAUUGAUGGGUUGGUGGGGGCUUUUUUCUGCAAACACAUUAAGGCAGGAGGGAAUACUCUGGCCCCCACCUCCCCACGCCUGGCACGGGGGACCUGGAGGCGAGCAGACACCAGGCCCGGCGGUGUUGGGGGCAGAAGGGAUCAAUUCUGUCAACCAGACUGCCCAGCUACUGUCAGGCACUGGGACCCUUCACCUGCUCCUUGGAGUCAUUAGAACUCCCAAAUCUCUUUGCAGGCCUUUUCUAUUAGACACAUACUCCCAUGUUUUGAUUUUUUGCUCCCAAAGUCAUUUUUUUAAAUAAUUACCUGCAUCGAACCACACUUACCAUCUGUGGGCUGAGAGCGGGCAAAUGAUUUAUUAGUCUUGGUUUCUAACGGUGCUGAGCAGCUUGGGAUCGAUCUUGCUGGUGACACACUCGGCAGAUGCACCGAUGGGUGGGAGGGUCAAUGUCAGGAUGAAGCUUCUUGCGGAGCUGACAUGCACGUGGGGACCCCAGGUGUGGUGUUUAGUUGGUAGACUGUGACAUUGCAAAAGUGGAGUCUCAAGCCAUGGCGGAUAACAGGCGGCAGAAAAAGCAGUGAGGGAGCUUCUUGGGAUGUUUUACUUUAAGUAGAAAGUAAAACUGUGCAUGAAAAGAGGGGACAGAGUAUGCAACCCAAAUCAUCGCCAAGGCUCUUGGUUUCUUCUGUGCACACUGCCUGCCUUGUAUCCAAGCGUUUGACUGUGCAGAGGCCAGUCAUACUGGGGGACCCUGAGCACUACCCUUGGCAUUUGGGUAUAUCCUGAUCAAUAUAGCCAUUUCCACUGCUUGACAUUAUGUUUUGGGGGCUAGUUUUUUAAAGAUCAAUGAUUGAAUUGCUGCUCGGCUGAUUGGAUAUGUCUUCUCGGAGACUCACCUGUCCUCCCCGAAGAGAUGCUGACUACACAACAGCAGUCACUGUGCUGGGCACACGGGCAGUGUUCAGGAGACGUGGCUUCCUUUCUUCUUCUUUCAUUUCUUCCUGCCCAGAACAGCAAGGCUGAGACUGAUAAUAAAAUUCCUGGAACAUGGAGAAACUCAUGUGGGGAGAAAAGAAGAAAUGUAUUGUGACUUCCAUGGGCUUUUGGCACUUUUGGACCUCCCUCCUCCUCUUUUCCAUAAAAAAUGUAUUUUAAGACAUAUUGGUAUAAAGAUGAGAUUAUUCAUAGUACAUAUUAAAAUGUUUUCCCCUACCUAAAAGUUUGUGGUUUUAUUGUCUUCUUGUUUUUAAAAUAAAUUAAAAUAUUUUCAAAGGCCGUUAGAAGAACCGUGGGCCCUGGGCUUGGUGCCUGCUGUGCCUCAUAAAUCAGGCCUGGAGAAGAGACAUCAGUGACAUUUUAGUGUCAGGUAGAAAAUGUAAAAUAUCAUGAUUGUUUUCCAAUGAUAUACUAAGUAAGACACAUAAGAUGUGUUUUAAUUUUUUUCUUGAUGUAUGCUGUUGUCUUUUAGUUAUAAAUGCUGAGUACUGUUAAAAGAUAAACUGAGGCACAAUAAAAUUUGAAGAGUUUAUUUGAGCAAACAAUGAUUUGUUACCGAAACACCAGGGGUUCAUCUGGGUCCUGCUGCUUGCCACACAGAAAGCCAAUCACUGAG